Molecule: ribosomal RNA, 565 nt
Filed under: Flavobacterium sp. BFFFF1
Lineage: Bacteria; Pseudomonadati; Bacteroidota; Flavobacteriia; Flavobacteriales; Flavobacteriaceae
Description: bacterial SSU rRNA
Rfam family: Bacterial small subunit ribosomal RNA
Source: RNAcentral
UACGAUGAAGAGUUUGAUCCUGGCUCAGGAUGAACGCUAGCGGCAGGCUUAACACAUGCAAGUCGAGGGGUAGAGGAAGCUUGCUUCCUUGAGACCGGCGCACGGGUGCGUAACGCGUAUGCAACCUACCUUGAACAGGGGGAUAGCCCAGAGAAAUUUGGAUUAAUACCCCAUGGUAUUAUGGGAUGGCAUCAUUUCAUUAUUAAAGUCACAACGGUUCAAGAUGGGCAUGCGUCCCAUUAGCUAGAUGGUAAGGUAACGGCUUACCAUGGCAACGAUGGGUAGGGGUCCUGAGAGGGAGAUCCCCCACACUGGUACUGAGACACGGACCAGACUCCUACGGGAGGCAGCAGUGAGGAAUAUUGGUCAAUGGGCGCAAGCCUGAACCAGCCAUGCCGCGUGCAGGAUGAAGCAUCUAUGGUGUGUAAACUGCUUUUGUACGGGAAGAAACACCGGUUCGUGAACCGGCUUGACGGUACCGUAAGAAUAAGGAUCGGCUAACUCCGUGCCAGCAGCCGCGGUAAUACGGAGGAUCCAAGCGUUAUCCGGAAUCAUUGGGUUUAAA